This 1642-nucleotide ribosomal RNA is filed under the name Pseudomonas sp. HMSC076A12. RNAcentral describes it as "bacterial LSU rRNA". It matches the Rfam family "Bacterial large subunit ribosomal RNA", at positions 1317 to 2925 of the family's 2925-position model. Lineage: Bacteria; Pseudomonadati; Pseudomonadota; Gammaproteobacteria; Pseudomonadales; Pseudomonadaceae. The record is from RNAcentral.
GGGUGUGAAAAACACCCACGCCGAAAGACCAAGGGUUCCUGCGCAACGUUAAUCGACGCAGGGUUAGUCGGUUCCUAAGGCGAGGCUGAAAAGCGUAGUCGAUGGGAAACAGGUUAAUAUUCCUGUACUUCUGGUUACUGCGAUGGAGGGACGGAGAAGGCUAGGCCAGCUUGGCGUUGGUUGUCCAAGUUUAAGGUGGUAGGCUGAAAUCUUAGGUAAAUCCGGGGUUUCAAGGCCGAGAGCUGAUGACGAGUCGUCUUUUAGAUGACGAAGUGGUUGAUGCCAUGCUUCCAAGAAAAGCUUCUAAGCUUCAGGUAACCAGGAACCGUACCCCAAACCGACACAGGUGGUCGGGUAGAGAAUACCAAGGCGCUUGAGAGAACUCGGGUGAAGGAACUAGGCAAAAUGGCACCGUAACUUCGGGAGAAGGUGCGCCGGCUAGGGUGAAGGAUUUACUCCGUAAGCUCUGGCUGGUCGAAGAUACCAGGCCGCUGCGACUGUUUAUUAAAAACACAGCACUCUGCAAACACGAAAGUGGACGUAUAGGGUGUGACGCCUGCCCGGUGCCGGAAGGUUAAUUGAUGGGGUUAGCGCAAGCGAAGCUCUUGAUCGAAGCCCCGGUAAACGGCGGCCGUAACUAUAACGGUCCUAAGGUAGCGAAAUUCCUUGUCGGGUAAGUUCCGACCUGCACGAAUGGCGUAACGAUGGCGGCGCUGUCUCCACCCGAGACUCAGUGAAAUUGAAAUCGCUGUGAAGAUGCAGUGUAUCCGCGGCUAGACGGAAAGACCCCGUGAACCUUUACUGUAGCUUUGCACUGGACUUUGAGCCUGCUUGUGUAGGAUAGGUGGGAGGCUUUGAAGCGUGGACGCCAGUUCGCGUGGAGCCAUCCUUGAAAUACCACCCUGGCAUGCUUGAGGUUCUAACUCUGGUCCGUAAUCCGGAUCGAGGACAGUGUAUGGUGGGCAGUUUGACUGGGGCGGUCUCCUCCUAAAGAGUAACGGAGGAGUACGAAGGUGCGCUCAGACCGGUCGGAAAUCGGUCGCAGAGUAUAAAGGCAAAAGCGCGCUUGACUGCGAGACAGACACGUCGAGCAGGUACGAAAGUAGGUCUUAGUGAUCCGGUGGUUCUGUAUGGAAGGGCCAUCGCUCAACGGAUAAAAGGUACUCCGGGGAUAACAGGCUGAUACCGCCCAAGAGUUCAUAUCGACGGCGGUGUUUGGCACCUCGAUGUCGGCUCAUCACAUCCUGGGGCUGAAGCCGGUCCCAAGGGUAUGGCUGUUCGCCAUUUAAAGUGGUACGCGAGCUGGGUUUAGAACGUCGUGAGACAGUUCGGUCUCUAUCUGCCGUGGACGUUUGAGAUUUGAGAGGGGCUGCUCCUAGUACGAGAGGACCGGAGUGGACGAACCUCUGGUGUUCCGGUUGUCACGCCAGUGGCAUUGCCGGGUAGCUAUGUUCGGAAAAGAUAACCGCUGAAAGCAUCUAAGCGGGAAACUUGCCUCAAGAUGAGAUCUCACUGGGAACUUGAUUCCCCUGAAGGGCCGUCGAAGACUACGACGUUGAUAGGCUGGGUGUGUAAGCGUUGUGAGGCGUUGAGCUAACCAGUACUAAUUGCCCGUGAGGCUUGACCAUAUAACACCCAAACA